Molecule: ribosomal RNA, 250 nt
Filed under: uncultured bacterium
Lineage: Bacteria
Description: partial 16S ribosomal RNA
Rfam family: Bacterial small subunit ribosomal RNA
Source: RNAcentral
UACGUAGGGGGCGAGCGUUAUCCGGAUUUAUUGGGUGUAAAGGGUGCGUAGGCGGUUUGUUAAGUCUAAAAUCAAAGUCCGAGGCUCAACCUCGGUUCGUUUUAGAAACUGGCAGACUUGAGUAUGGUAGAGGCAAGUGGAAUUUCUAGUGUAGCGGUUAAAUGCGUAGAUAUUAGAAGGAACACCAGUGGCGAAGGCGUCUUGCUGGGCCAUUACUGACGCUGAGGCACGAAAGCGUGGGGAGCAAAUA